CGCGGCCUAUCAGCUUGUUGGUGGGGUAAUGGCCUACCAAGGCGACGACGGGUAGCCGGCCUGAGAGGGUGACCGGCCACACUGGGACUGAGACACGGCCCAGACUCCUACGGGAGGCAGCAGUGGGGAAUAUUGCACAAUGGGCGGAAGCCUGAUGCAGCAACGCCGCGUGAGGGAUGACGGCCUUCGGGUUGUAAACCUCUUUUAGCAGGGAAGAAGCGAGAGUGACGGUACCUGCAGAAAAAGCGCCGGCUAACUACGUGCCAGCAGCCGCGGUAAUACGUAGGGCGCAAGCGUUAUCCGGAAUUAUUGGGCGUAAAGAGCUCGUAGGCGGUUUGUCGCGUCUGCUGUGAAAUCCCGAGGCUCAACCUCGGACCUGCAGUGGGUACGGGCAAACUAGAGUGCGGUAGGGGAGAUUGGAAUUCCUGGUGUAGCGGUGGAAUGCGCAGAUAUCAGGAGGAACACCAAUGGCGAAGGCAGAUCUCUGGGCCGUAACUGACGCUGAGGAGCGAAAGCGUGGGGAGCGAACAGGAUUAGAUACCCUGGUAGUCCACGCCGUAAACGGUGGGUGCUAGCUGUGGGCCACAUUCCACGUGGUCCGUGACGAAGUUAACACAUUAAGCACCCCGCCUGGGGAGUACGG
RNAcentral lists this ribosomal RNA (643 nucleotides) under uncultured Actinomycetes bacterium. RNAcentral describes it as "bacterial SSU rRNA". It matches the Rfam family "Bacterial small subunit ribosomal RNA", at positions 232 to 885 of the family's 1533-position model. Lineage: Bacteria; Bacillati; Actinomycetota; Actinomycetes. The record is from RNAcentral.